This 469-nucleotide ribosomal RNA is filed under the name uncultured bacterium. RNAcentral describes it as "partial 16S ribosomal RNA". It matches the Rfam family "Bacterial small subunit ribosomal RNA", at positions 28 to 507 of the family's 1533-position model. The record is from RNAcentral.
AACGAACGUUGGCGGCGUGGAUUAGGCAUGCAAGUCGAACGCGAAUCCCUGGGCAACUGGGGAGGAGAGUGGCGAAAGGGGCAGUAAGGCGUGGGUAACCUACCCUCCGGGCCGGGAUAGCUUCGGGAAACUGAAGGUAAUACCGGGCGACGCAGCGAGAUCGCAUGGUCUUGCUGCCAAAGGUCCGCCGCCGGGGGAGGGGCUCACGUGGUAUUAGCUAGACGGCGGGGUAACGGCCCACCGUGGCAAAGAUGCCGAGCAGGUGGGCGAGCACGACCUGCGCCACUGGCACUGAGACACUGGCCAGACACCUACGGGUGGCUGCAGGGGAGGAUCUUUGGCAAUGGGCGCAAGCCUGACCGAGCGACGCCGCGUGUGCGAUGAAGGCCUUCGGGUUGUAAAGCACUGUCGAGGGGGAGGAAGCCGCAAGGUGGACCUAUCCCUGGAGGAAGCACGGGCUAAGUUCGUG